UACGUAGGGCGCAAGCGUUGUCCGGAAUUAUUGGGCGUAAAGAGCUCGUAGGCGGUCUGUCGCGUCUGCCGUGAAAACCCGAGGCUUAACCUCGGGCUGGCGGUGGAUACGGGCAGACUAGAGGUAGGUAGGGGAGAAUGGAAUUCCCGGUGUAGCGGUGAAAUGCGCAGAUAUCGGGAGGAACACCGGUGGCGAAGGCGGUUCUCUGGGCCUUACCUGACGCUGAGGAGCGAAAGCGUGGGGAGCGAACGGG
Molecule: ribosomal RNA, 253 nt
Filed under: uncultured bacterium
Lineage: Bacteria
Description: partial 16S ribosomal RNA
Rfam family: Bacterial small subunit ribosomal RNA
Source: RNAcentral